GAUGAACGCUGGCGGCGUGCCUAAUACAUGCAAGUCGAGCGAACGGACGAGAAGCUUGCUUCUCUGAUGUUAGCGGCGGACGGGUGAGUAACACGUGGAUAACCAACCUAUAAGACUGGGAUAACUUCGGGAAACCGGAGCUAAUACCGGAUAAUAUUUUGAACCGCAUGGUUCAAAAGUGAAAGACGGUCUUGCUGUCACUUAUAGAUGGAUCCGCGCUGCAUUAGCUAGUUGGUAAGGUAACGGCUUACCAAGGCAACGAUGCAUAGCCGACCUGAGAGGGUGAUCGGCCACACUGGAACUGAGACACGGUCCAGACUCCUGCGGGAGGCAGCAGUAGGGAAUCUUCCGCAAUGGGCGAAAGCCUGACGGAGCAACGCCGCGUGAGUGAUGAAGGUCUUCGGAUCGUAAAACUCUGUUAUUAGGGAAGAACAUAUGUGUAAGUAACUGUGCACAUCUUGACGGUACCUAAUCAGAAAGCCACGGCUAACUACGUG
Molecule: ribosomal RNA, 497 nt
Filed under: uncultured bacterium
Lineage: Bacteria
Description: partial 16S ribosomal RNA
Rfam family: Bacterial small subunit ribosomal RNA
Source: RNAcentral